GGUGAGUAACGCGUGAGAAUCUGCCCUCAGGAGGGGGAUAACGGCUGGAAACGGCCGCUAAUACCCCAUAUGCCGAGAGGUGAAACGAGUUUUCGCCUGAGGAUGAGCUCGCGUCUGAUUAGCUAGUUGGUGGGGUAAGAGCCUACCAAGGCAUCGACCAGUAGCUGGUCUGAGAGGAUGAUCAGCCACACUGGGACUGAGACACGGCCCAGACUCCUACGGGAGGCAGCAGUGGGGAAUUUUCCGCAAUGGGCGAAAGCCUGACGGAGCAACGCCGCGUGAGGGAUGAAGGCCUCUGGGCUGUAAACCUCUUUUCUCAAGGAAGAAGAUCUGACGGUACUUGAGGAAUAAGCCACGGCUAAUUCCGUGCCAGCAGCCGCGGUAAUACGGGAGUGGCAAGCGUUAUCCGGAAUUAUUGGGCGUAAAGCGUCCGCAGGCGGUCUUGAAAGUCUGUUGUUAAAGCGUGGAGCUUAACUCCAUUUCAGCAAUGGAAACUAGAAGACUAGAGUGUGGUAGGGGCAGAGGGAAUUCCCGGUGUAGCGGUGAAAUGCGUAGAUAUCGGGAAGAACACCAGUGGCGAAGGCGCUCUGCUGGGCCAUAACUGACGCUCAUGGACGAAAGCCAGGGGAGCGAAAGGGAUUAGAUACCCCUGUAGUCCUGGCCGUAAACGAUGAACACUAGGUGUCGGGGGAAUCGACCCCCUCGGUGUCGUAGCCAACGCGUUAAGUGUUCCGCCUGGGGAGUACGCACGCAAGUGUGAAACUCAAAGGAAUUGACGGGGGCCCGCACAAGCGGUGGAGUAUGUGGUUUAAUUCGAUGCAACGCGAAGAACCUUACCAGGGUUUGACAUCCUGCGAACCCCUUGGAAACGAGGGGGUGCCUUCGGGAGCGCAGAGACAGGUGGUGCAUGGCUGUCGUCAGCUCGUGUCGUGAGAUGUUGGGUUAAGUCCCGCAACGAGCGCAACCCACGUCUUUAGUUGCCAGCAUUCAGUUGGGCACUCUAGAGAGACCGCCGGUGAUAAACCGGAGGAAGGUGUGGAUGACGUCAAGUCAUCAUGCCCCUUACAUCCUGGGCUACACACGUACUACAAUGCUACGGACAAAGGGCAGCAAACUCGCGAGAGCUAGCAAAUCCCAUAAACCGUGGCUCAGUUCAGAUCGUAGGCUGCAACUCGCCUACGUGAAGGAGGAAUCGCUAGUAAUCGCAGGUCAGCAUACUGCGGUGAAUACGUUCCCGGGCCUUGUACACACCGCCCGUCACACCAUGGAAGUUGGCCACGCCCGAAGUCGUUACUCCAACCCUUGUGGAGGAGGACGCCGAAGGUGGGGCUGAUGACUGG
This 1340-nucleotide ribosomal RNA is filed under the name metagenome. Its description in RNAcentral is "bacterial SSU rRNA". It matches the Rfam family "Bacterial small subunit ribosomal RNA", at positions 105 to 1478 of the family's 1533-position model. The record is from RNAcentral.